Molecule: non-coding RNA, 92 nt
Organism: Mycena rebaudengoi
Lineage: Eukaryota; Fungi; Basidiomycota; Agaricomycetes; Agaricales; Mycenaceae
Source: the annotation of a GenBank genome assembly
GACCCAGUGGUGUAGUGGUAAACCUGCCCACUUAUUGUGCAUCAUCGCACCCAGAUUUGUGGGAGAUCCCUGUUCGACUCAGGGUUGGGUCA